RNAcentral lists this long non-coding RNA (285 nucleotides) under Brassica napus (rape). RNAcentral describes it as "long non-coding RNA (BNAP_LNC005364)". The record is from RNAcentral. Lineage: Eukaryota; Viridiplantae; Streptophyta; Magnoliopsida; Brassicales; Brassicaceae.
CUCAUCAGAAGUUACAGAAAUUUAAUUUACAAAAAAAAAAGUUACAGAAAUUUAUAAAAAAAAAGCAACCUAUCAAAUUUUCGAACUUCAGAUAUGUUUCUUUUCAAGGUUGGAUUUUUUGAUGUUUUAGCUAUAUAUAAUUCGGUUGACAAUGUAAAAUGUUAAACAAUGGAAAUGAUUGUGAUAUUGGAUUUUCAAUGGAAAUGGAAAUGACUAAUGAUUGUGUUAAUUCGGUUGAAAAUGGAAAUGACUAUGAAUUUUCAAAUUUUCGAAUUUAAGCUGCCA